AGAAAAUAAGGUGUUUUUUUAGGAAAAUGUCUUAUCCUUUUGAAUUCAGUAAGACAUUUUCCGAAAAAUGACGCUUCUUCUCCCCUUUCCCCUUCCCCUUCCCCUUGGGUUGCAAAUCAGUGCCAUUGACAAUAGUUUUGUCAAGAACCUUUUCCAGUUCCUCCUUCAUCCAAGUAAGGCUCCUUCUCCUUCUUCUGUUCUUCAUUCCUUUUCCUUCUUUCGUUUUUCAUCUUCUCUUCCAGGUAAAAGUCAGUCGCAUAUCUUUCUUUGUUUUUUCAGUCAUAACCAUUUCCCUUUCAUUGUUUCUUAUUUUCGAGAACCUUUCUUCAUUUAACAAUCCCGAGGUAAGUUUUUGUGUUUUUCUUUUUUUCUAAUUGAAAUUUUCAUUUUUUUUCCUUAUUUGGUUUUGCAUUUUUUUAAAUUUUGUGUUCUUGGAUUGACGAGAGCAAAAGUUCUUGAUCGGAGUUGUUCUUAUGGUUCCUUGCUAUUCUGUAAAAUUGGUGAGGUUAUUUGUAUUAGUUGAAUGGAAGCAUUUGAAUCUUAUAGUUUUAUCAACCUAUUCAUCUAACAACAGUGCCUCCGAAGUCUGAUGGCUGAUGUGCUGAAAUAUUCUGUUUUCCAGCCCCUUACACCCCAGUCAUAAAAUUGAUGGAAAGAAAUGAGCUAAAGAAUUUGCGAGGAAUAUUUUUACAUUGACUUCAUUUCAUUUAAUUUUAUUUGAACUCUUUUGAUAUAGGAUUUGGCAUUUGAUCUGUCCCUUUCUGCUCUUUUGGGAGAUAACAUCUACAACUUUGGACAACUCCUUGCUCAUCCAAUUGUAAGCACAUAUUUAUAAGUUUCUUAAAUUCAUUAUAUAUUGCAGCUGGUCCAAUUGUUAUGGAAAUGAUCGAUGAAGUCUUGAUUAAGAAAAUGUGCUUUUAAUUGCACAAAGAUAAGGUUCAUAGGCCUUGUUUAGAUACUCAUGUUAAUGUAUGUGGAGGUUUAAUGACUGAAAAGUGCCUGUUAUUAAGAGCCUCUUUUCAUUUUGCAUUUCUUUUCAUGCUAUUUCAAUUACAUGAAUACAUUCUUAUUUUUCAUUGUGUUGGAUUGAUUUAAAAGGGAGUUUGUGUGUUGUAGUUUUUUUCUUUUUCUUUUUUUCCCUUCGAAUUUCUUUGCUUUGAUGUUUUUAUUUUGUUAUGUUUGAGAUGAUGACUGUUGGCAUCAUUUACAAAUUGUGUCUUCUGGGGACCAAGGUGGAAUGGCUUUAUUAUAUCCUCCAAUCCUUCAAUUUUGGGAAUUUGGUUCGUUAUGAAGAAUUGUAUGGGCAAGAAUACCGUUUGUUCUUCAAGAAAAUCCCCUCAAAUGAAAGAAAAUCUCUUGUUAAACGCAAACCCCACAUCAAAUUCUUCACUCCAAUUCCUUUCUUUCCAUUGUAAGACAAAAGCCCAAAUUUCAUUUUUUAAAGCACCCUCUUCUCUUCCCUUUUCUUCAAGAUCCUCUUCUUCUUCUUUUGUCUCACUUCAUUCUUCCACUCCUUAUACUAAUUCAACUACAAAGGAUUUCAAUUUUGAGUCCAAUGGAUUGCCUCAAACCUCUAAAUCUAAUCUUGAUGGAGAACCCAAUGAGAAUUACAAUGUGGGGAUUGGUCAUCCAAUCGUUCCAAAUUUUAUUCCAACUCAAAAGAUGAGUUUGAGUGAUCAAACCUUCUAUCUGUUCACUUUUAUUGCUUGUAUGGUAUGGUUUAAGGCUUUUCAGGUUAUUGUGUGCUAUAUAUGUGUGUAUGUGGAAUUUUUAUGCUAUAUAUGUGCAUAUGUGUGAAAGAGAAUAUUUGAUUGAUAGUCCUAUUACUUGGAAGGCAUGCUAAAUAUGUUCUGUAAACGGAUUGUUCUUUAAUUUUUUUAGAUUAUUUAGUGCUUAUUUUGAGGUUGUUUAAGGGCAAUUCUUGGUUUUGGGCAUGUUUUAUGUGAGUGCUUCUUAUUGCUUAAUGGAUAUUUUCAAAUUUUGAUAAGCAUCUCUUGUUUGCAUGUAGCUUAUAUAUAUAUAUGAAAUUGAUGUUUGAUAAUGUUGGAAUGGUAACUUGGUAAUAGUAUGUCGUUCCCACUAUUCAAUUUUUUCUUUAGAGCCUUCCAAGUACACAUAAAAACUUAGAAAAAAUUUAACUUUCUUGUGUUAGAAACAUAUUUGUAUCCUACACUCAUGUUCGAGUCUUAGUAACAUAGGAUAGUCUAUACUUUUCUCAUGUAUCAUUUCUUUUUGCAUUUGUUGAUUAUAGUUUCAUUGUUACAAUCAGGUUUUUAUAGUUUGUUGGAUGCAUAUGGUAUUUGAACAAUUUAUUGGAUAAUUUUUAUUUUUUUGCAGUUUUCUUUGGCUUGUUACUACAAAUCAGAUAUAUUCUUUCUAUAGACAGGCAGUCGUAGAAAUUCAAGUGUUGUGCAUUGGUAUUAAGUACUAUGUUUGGUGUUUCAAUUUUCUAUAUUUUCGGACUGGUUGACACCAAUCACUCGGAUACAUGCAGGCUUCUUUGGCGUUCACAAGUCUAGUCAUUGCAGCUGUUGGAUAAUUAGAUGGGCAAAGUACAUAAUGCUUGGUUAUCAAUUGAGGCUGAAACACCUGAUCUCGUUGCAUCAUGAACUUUUUCCUCCAGGUCCUUUCUGCCAUUGUAACAAUUUCGUUAUUUGAAAAGGGCAAGAAGAAGGGAAAGUGAAAUGAUGAGCAAUGAGGAUAGAGAUAAGCGUUAGUCAUUUGCGAGUAGAGCCAUCUUUGUAUGAUUCCUUUAGUAGGUAUUGCUUGAUCCUUAAAUAUUUAUUUUGAAAGGAGCGGCUCAUGUACUAAACUUUUCACUUUUUGGCAAUUGUUGGAUCUACAAUGGCACUGGAAUGCCUAAGGAUAUUGUUAAAACUACAAACAUUAUCCUUAUCUUUCAUUUUGUAUUGGGAUUUUUCAUUAGAUACAAUCAGAUAUGAUCC
This 2945-nucleotide long non-coding RNA is filed under the name Gossypium barbadense (sea-island cotton). Its description in RNAcentral is "long non-coding RNA (GBAR_LNC004279)". Lineage: Eukaryota; Viridiplantae; Streptophyta; Magnoliopsida; Malvales; Malvaceae. The record is from RNAcentral.